UACGGAGGGUGCAAGCGUUAUCCGGAUUCACUGGGUUUAAAGGGUGCGUAGGCGGGCAGGUAAGUCAGUGGUGAAAUCUCCGAGCUUAACUCGGAAACUGCCGUUGAUACUACUUGUCUUGAAUAUUUGUGGAGGUAAGCGGAAUAUGUCAUGUAGCGGUGAAAUGCUUAGAUAUGACAUAGAACACCAAUUGCGAAGGCAGCUCACUAAGCAGCGAUUGACGCUGAGGCACGAAAGCGUGGGGAGCGAACAGG
RNAcentral lists this ribosomal RNA (254 nucleotides) under uncultured bacterium. RNAcentral's name for it is "partial 16S ribosomal RNA". It matches the Rfam family "Bacterial small subunit ribosomal RNA", at positions 524 to 776 of the family's 1533-position model. The record is from RNAcentral.